CACGUAGGGGGCGAGCGUUGUCCGGAUUUAUUGGGCGUAAAGAGCUCGUAGGUGGUUCAGUAAGUCGAGUGUGAAACCUCCAGGCUCAACCUGGAGACGCCACCCGAUACUGCUGUGACUAGAGUCCAGUAGGGGAGCACGGAAUUCCUGGUGUAGCGGUGAAAUGCGCAGAUAUCAGGAGGAACACCAGUGGCGAAGGCGGUGCUCUGGGCUGGAACUGACACUGAGGAGCGAAAGCGUGGGUAGCAAACAGG
RNAcentral lists this ribosomal RNA (254 nucleotides) under uncultured bacterium. RNAcentral's name for it is "partial 16S ribosomal RNA". It matches the Rfam family "Bacterial small subunit ribosomal RNA", at positions 524 to 776 of the family's 1533-position model. The record is from RNAcentral. RNAcentral also lists the same sequence under 1 other name.